This 419-nucleotide small RNA is filed under the name Pan troglodytes (chimpanzee). Its description in RNAcentral is "processed transcript". The record is from RNAcentral. Lineage: Eukaryota; Metazoa; Chordata; Mammalia; Primates; Hominidae.
ACUCACCGCAGCCCAGCAAGGGCUCUGGCAGCUGACGGGGCUUUGUCUGGGACAGCUGCAAACCAGUGUGCCGUGCCAGCCAAGGACAGGGUGGACUGCGGCUACCCCCAGGUCACCCCCAAGGAGUGCAACAACCGGGGCUGCUGCUUUGACUCCAGGAUCCCUGGAGUGCCUUGGUGUUUCAAGCCCCUGCAGGAAGCAGAAUGCACCUUCUGAGGCACCUCCAGCUGCCCCCGGCUGGGGCAUGCGAGGCUCAGAGCACCCUUGCCCGGCUGUGAUUGCUGCCGGGCGCUGUUCAUCUCAGCUUUUCUGUCCCUUUGCUCCCGGCAAGCGCUUCUGCUGAAAGUUCAUGUCUGGAGCCUGAUGUCUUAACGAAUAAAGGUCCCAUGCUCUGCCCGAGGACAGUUCUUCGUGCCUGA